Molecule: ribosomal RNA, 807 nt
Filed under: uncultured Veillonella sp.
Lineage: Bacteria; Bacillati; Bacillota; Negativicutes; Veillonellales; Veillonellaceae
Description: bacterial SSU rRNA
Rfam family: Bacterial small subunit ribosomal RNA
Source: RNAcentral
AGAGUUUGAUCCUGGCUCAGGACGAACGCUGGCGGCGUGCUUAACACAUGCAAGUCGAACGAAGAGCGAUGGAAGCUUGCUUCUAUCAAUCUUAGUGGCGAACGGGUGAGUAACGCGUAAUCAACCUGCCCUUCAGAGGGGGACAACAGUUGGAAACGACUGCUAAUACCGCAUACGAUCCAAUCUCGGCAUCGAGACUGGAUGAAAGGUGGCCUCUAUUUAUAAGCUAUCACUGAAGGAGGGGAUUGCGUCUGAUUAGCUAGUUGGAGGGGUAACGGCCCACCAAGGCGAUGAUCAGUAGCCGGUCUGAGAGGAUGAACGGCCACAUUGGGACUGAGACACGGCCCAGACUCCUACGGGAGGCAGCAGUGGGGAAUCUUCCGCAGUGGACGAAAGUCUGACGGAGCAACGCCGCGUGAGUGAUGACGGCCUUCGGGUUGUAAAGCUCUGUUAAUCGGGACGAAUGGUUCUUGUGCGAAUAGUGCGAGGAUUUGACGGUACCGGAAUAGAAAGCCACGGCUAACUACGUGCCAGCAGCCGCGGUAAUACGUAGGUGGCAAGCGUUGUCCGGAAUUAUUGGGCGUAAAGCGCGCGCAGGCGGAUUGGUCAGUCUGUCUUAAAAGUUCGGGGCUUAACCCCGUGAUGGGAUGGAAACUGCCAAUCUAGAGUAUCGGAGAGGAAAGUGGAAUUCCUAGUGUAGCGGUGAAAUGCGUAGAUAUUAGGAAGAACACCAGUGGCGAAGGCGACUUUCUGGACGAAAACUGACGCUGAGGCGCGAAAGCCAGGGGAGCGAACGGGAUUAGAUAC